Prunus mume (Japanese apricot) is the source of this 438-nucleotide non-coding RNA. The record is from RefSeq and is a predicted model, not a curated record. NCBI's taxonomy places the organism in Eukaryota, Viridiplantae, Streptophyta, Magnoliopsida, Rosales, Rosaceae.
ACAUUUGGUUUCUUCUUCAAUCAGUGCCAGGAUCAUUGCCAUGGUGAGCAAGAAAUGUGAUGCUUGGUGCCGUCCUAGGAGCAGCAUUGGGUUUUCCAUUUGGGUGGGCGCAUUUGAAGCUGGUAGAGAAAGCAAAUGAAGGGAACCCGUCUACACAUCCUGAUUCAGAUCAAAGAGAAGCAAGGAGUGGAGUUGGUGCAGCAAUUGAAAGGCUUGAAGAAAAUUUGAAUAAGUAGAACAGAAAAUUGAGCAAGGCUUGAAGAUCUCCCUAUUGUCCGGUGAGAAGAGAGAAGGAUGAAAAUCUCAGAGAAAGAGCAUAGGCCUUGUUUCGUUUAUUGAGGAAUAAGAACACUCUAGUAACAAUUUCACAAUAUUUUGAAGGAUUUUUCAAUUAAUUUUCCAAUUUAUGAAGCAGAAUAACAAAUUUUCUUUGUUUGA